Molecule: ribosomal RNA, 514 nt
Filed under: uncultured bacterium
Lineage: Bacteria
Description: bacterial SSU rRNA
Rfam family: Bacterial small subunit ribosomal RNA
Source: RNAcentral
AGAGUUUGAUUCUGGCUCAGGAUGAACGCUGGCGGCGUGCCUAAUACAUGCAAGUCGAACGAGGGUGCUUGCACCCUAGUGGCGAACGGGUGAGUAACACGUAGGUAACCUGCCCUUAAGCUUGGGAUACCCAGAGGAAACUUUGGCUAAUACCGGAUAACAACAGAGAAGGCAUCUUCUUUGCUUGAAAGGCCCUUUCGGGUCACUUAAGGAUGGACCUGCGGCGCAUUAGCUAGUUGGUGAGAUAACAGCCCACCAAGGCGAGGAUGCGUAGCCGAACUGAGAGGUUGAUCGGCCACAUUGGAACUGAGACACGGUCCAAACUCCUACGGGAGGCAGCAGUAAGGAGUUUUCGGCAAUGGGGGAAACCCUGACCGAGCAACGCCGCGUGAGUGAUGACGGCCCUAUGGGUUGUAAAACUCUUUUAUAAGGGACGAAUGAUAGUGAUAGGAAAUGAUCAUUAUUUGACGGUACCUUUUGAAUAAGCCACGGCUAACUACGUGCCAGCAGCAGC